UGUCCUGUGGUGUAAUGGUAGCACACCAGAUUCUGGUUCUGCUUGUCCGGGUUCGAGUCCUGGCAGGACAA
This 71-nucleotide transfer RNA is filed under the name Candidatus Symbiothrix sp. Its description in RNAcentral is "tRNA-Gln". It matches the Rfam family "tRNA". From Rfam's summary of the family: Transfer RNA (tRNA) molecules are approximately 80 nucleotides in length. Lineage: Bacteria; Pseudomonadati; Bacteroidota; Bacteroidia; Bacteroidales. The record is from RNAcentral.